Bos indicus x Bos taurus (hybrid cattle) is the source of this 97-nucleotide microRNA precursor. NCBI's taxonomy places the organism in Eukaryota, Metazoa, Chordata, Mammalia, Artiodactyla, Bovidae. The record is from Ensembl.
CUUUGAUCUUUGUUGCGGCAUUCGGGAUCUUUAGUUGUGGUAUGCGAACUCUUAGUUGCAGCAUGUGGGAUCUAGUUCCCUGUCCAGGGAUCAAACC